This is a ribosomal RNA of 437 nucleotides. It matches the Rfam family "Bacterial small subunit ribosomal RNA", at positions 341 to 792 of the family's 1533-position model.
ACGGGAGGCAGCAGUGGGGAAUAUUGGGCAAUGGGCGAAAGCCUGACCCAGCAACGCCGCGUGAAGGAAGAAGGUCUUCGGAUUGUAAACUUCUUUUAUGAGGGACGAAGGACGUGACGGUACCUCAUGAAUAAGCCACGGCUAACUACGUGCCAGCAGCCGCGGUAAUACGUAGGUGGCAAGCGUUAUCCGGAUUUACUGGGUGUAAAGGGCGCGUAGGCGGGGAUGCAAGUCAGAUGUGAAAUCUAUGGGCUUAACUCAUAAACUGCAUUUGAAACUGUAUCUCUUGAGUGCUGGAGAGGUAGAUGGAAUUCCUUGUGUAGCGGUGAAAUGCGUAGAGAUAUGGAGGAACACCGGUGGCGAAGGCGGCUUACUGGGCUUUUACUGACGCUGAGGCUCGAAAGCGUGGGGAGCAAACAGGAUUAGAUACCCUGGUA